CCCUUUGGGUGUGACUGCGUACCUUUUGUAUAAUGGGUCAGCGACUUAUAUUCUGUAGCAAGGUUAACCGAAUAGGGGAGCCGGAGGGAAACCGAGUCUUAAUUGGGCGUUAAGUUGCAGGGUAUAGACCCGAAACCCGGUGAUCUAGCCAUGGGCAGGUUGAAGGUUGGGUAACACUAACUGGAGGACCGAACCGACUAAUGUUGAAAAAUUAGCGGAUGACCUGUGGCUGGGGGUGAAAGGCCAAUCAAACCGGGAGAUAGCUGGUUCUCCCCGAAAGCUAUUUAGGUAGCGCCUCGUGAAUUCAUCUCCGGGGGUAGAGCACUGUUUCGGCUAGGGGGCCAUCCCGGCUUACCAACCCGAUGCAAACUGCGAAUACCGGAGAAUGUUAUCACGGGAGACACACGGCGGGUGCUAACGUCCGUCGUGAAGAGGGAAACAACCCAGACCGCCAGCUAAGGUCCCAAAGUCAUGGUUAAGUGGGAAACGAUGUGGGAAGGCCCAGACAGCCAGGAUGUUGGCUUAGAAGCAGCCAUCAUUUAAAGAAAGCGUAAUAGCUCACUGGUCGAGUCGGCCUGCGCGGAAGAUGUAACGGGGCUAAACCAUGCACCGAAGCUGCGGCAGCGACACUGUGUGUUGUUGGGUAGGGGAGCGUUCUGUAAGCCUGUGAAGGUGUGUCGUGAGGCAUGCUGGAGGUAUCAGAAGUGCGAAUGCUGACAUAAGUAACGAUAAAGCGGGUGAAAAGCCCGCUCGCCGGAAGACCAAGGGUUCCUGUCCAACGUUAAUCGGGGCAGGGUGAGUCGACCCCUAAGGCGAGGCCGAAAGGCGUAGUCGAUGGGAAACGGGUUAAUAUUCCCGUACUUGGUGUUACUGCGAAGGGGGGACGGAGAAGGCUAUGUUGGCCGGG
Molecule: ribosomal RNA, 907 nt
Filed under: Salmonella enterica
Lineage: Bacteria; Pseudomonadati; Pseudomonadota; Gammaproteobacteria; Enterobacterales; Enterobacteriaceae
Also listed under: 1 other name
Description: partial 23S ribosomal RNA
Rfam family: Bacterial large subunit ribosomal RNA
Source: RNAcentral